ACAACUACAACAUCACUACCUCUUUAUUUUUAUAUAUGUCAAGGAAGCUUGUGUGGUUAAAUGGCCUAGAAGGACAAAUCCAUAGCCUUGUGGUUGAAGAUUGACUAGAAGAUGUUUUCUUUCCUAAUGUUAUCUUGAGUGCCAUUAGGUCAAACCUAAUCUAUCACCCAAUUUCUGGUACUUGAUGCAUACACAGAUUUUGAAAUGUUAAUAUAUUGGAUUAAUAUAGCUGAAGUUAUUUGGUAACAUUUGGAGGUCAGGGUUUUUUUUUUUUUAAGAGACUGAAUUUAGGUCAUAUGAGUACUAUUUUCUCUCUCUCUUUCUACCAGCCACCUUUGUCUGAAUGUUUUUCAAUGCUGUUAGAACCUUCUGGUUCAGCAUCAGACUGAUACGGAGUUUAGCUUUUAGUAUGGAUAUAAUAAAAAUCCAAAAUAGAUGAUUUGUUUUUAAUAGAAGUCACAAUUUUCUAACCACCAACACUAAACUCACAGGUCUGAAAACAUUCUUUCUGCUUCUUAAUGAAUUGACGUAAAAAUGUAUUGACAGUUUUGAGGGAGAUGACAGAAUAGGAAUCUUUCAUUCCUUUGAAAAAGCCUGUGUUUCUUGUUAUUCUUUUGGAGUUGAUAAGUAAAAAUAAGUAGGCAUAACUUGAAGUCACUCAGUGGUGUGCAUAUGUUGAGGUAAAAAUGUUCUUGAUGUAAUUCUACUUACAAUCCAUACUUUAAUUUUCUCUCAUGUACUAAGAUGUUUUUUUUUACUGUCCAUCUUCAUGCCUUAAAUCACCUUUUAGAUGUGCCUCUUGUGCUAGCUACAUUUCUUUUCUUUCCUUACUUUGCAUUCCUGAGCAUCAUCUGCUGAAACCUAACACAUACUUUCUGACCCUGCACGAUCAAUUGUUAGCAGAACAGCAUUUUCGUCCUGUUCUUAUUCUUACACUUAAGUAAGAGCUAGACUGUGUUAGUAGGCCAUCUCUUCACCUUCUAUAUUGACUUUUUUUCCUUGUCAUAUAGGCUUCCUAAACUAGUACUACUUACCAUAUGACUUUCUCUUGAUUGUUCCUUUUAAUCCCAUUAAGUCAAAAAUGGCUAAAUUACCUUCUGUCAUCCUGCUCUAAAGAUAGUUUAGAAUUCCUUCUGAGCUCUGCUAAGCUUCUCCUAAGAACUUUGUUCUCCAUAAAACCAGAGACUCUACAAUUAAUUUCAUUGCUGUAUCUACAAACAAGCUGGCUUGCUUUGUAAUAAAGGCUGAAUUCAUCAAAAUAAAGGAGGAAAAAUGGUUCUACUUCGAGCAGUCGCCACCAAGUUAACUCAUCUUGAUUCAACAUAAUUUAUUUUCCUAUCCUUGAUACUAAGAGCAUCUUUUAUUGAGAUAAUUUAGGAUAUUUUUAUUGCUUCUCAGCUUGUUGAGCCAUGUAACUAUUAAACUGGAUGGCUUUAUUAAGUUAUAUAAUGAAUACAAUCAUGUUUCCAUUUUUGAAUGUUAGAUAACCUUGGACUCAGGAAAAUGAAAGAGGUUUUGGUGUAGGGGUAAAGCUAACUCUUAAGUUUGUUGUUUUUUUUUAACCAUUCUCAAACCUUUUAAAAAGUCUGGCUUCUUUAAAACAAAAAAUGUCCUUGGUUAAUUGAGGCUGAAGGAAAAUCAGAGGGUAUUUUUGGAAAAUAUUUGAUAGCUAUUCACAGUAGAAAUUCUAACACUAACUACAACUAUCUGGAUGGAGUGUCUUGUUGAGACACAGCUUCAGGACAUAGCCCUUCAGUAGCUUUUUCACUGGCACAUUAUCACAGUUGUGGAAUAUGGAUUAAUUGGUUUUCUUUCUUCAAGAAAAGAAACAUUACAAAGUAGUUAUAAAUCAGUGCUAUUUAGUAAAUACAAAAGACUGAAAAUACAUUUUUCUUUAAAAGCUGGUAAUCACUUUUACUCCUGAAUUCUUGGUGUAGAUUUGAAAGAUAUUUGGAGCCUAUCUAACAUCCUUUGUAAGAUGUCUGGGACAGUUCUGUACAACUCUGUAAGAGGUUUGACCAAACACUUUGGUCCUCUUAUUAAUCCUUUUAAUCUCCAGUAAAUGGUUUUAGUAAUAAUUAUGAAUGUUUCCAUGCAUAAAUUUCUGCUGUUAAUGGUACUUUGUUCCCCCAAUAAUGAUGUUGCACUCCUUGCAAUAAUAAGACAGUUCAGUGUCUGUUUGAGGAAUAAAGUGCAUCUACAUUACAUAUUUCAGGGAUGUAUUUGUUAGCCGUGUUGGUCUGAGACUAGAAAAAAUGCAAAACUCUAAACUCUUGGUUCAGAGAUGAUACCUUUCAUUAGACAAAGUAAGAAAUCACAAAAAAAUUAUCUUUCUUUGGAAGCUUUUGGGCGCACACACCCUUCUUCAGGCUUAGGGAAAAUUAAAGACGGUAAAAGUCUCCCUAGGUAGACAAACUUCAUUUUGCACAGAGGAAGCUGAAGGUAGAAGUCUGUUCCUCUGGGUCCAUGAGAGUUCCUUUGUGUAACUUGUUCUUUGAUGUGCAGAUAAAGCAGUUUUUCUUCCCUGCUGGUGUCAAAUGGCACGGAAGUGUAGAAAUUUUUCUUUCUUGUUUAGCAGUGAAGUUUAUAAUUCCAAAAUUGGCUAAAAUUUGGCAUCGUCCAUAUUUCAGAGAUGUAUUUGGUAGCUGUGUUGGUCUGAGACAAAUACAAAACUGUAAAACUUUUGUUUCAGAGUGUGCCUGAAAGCUUGCAAAGAAAGAUACUUUUUUGCAAUUUCUUAGUUGGUCUAAUAAAGGAAUAUCAUCUCUGAACCAACAGUGUUAGUUUUGCUUUUCUACAUUACAUAUAAAGCUUGAGGGGAAAAACCCCCUGAAAAAGGAAUAUAUAUUUCACCUAAGUGCUGAGAUUUUCUUAAUUUGGUCAGAUGUUCUAGUUUUUAGUCAGAAGCAGAAGUAUCUGCCCCGUAAUUUAUACAUUUACCAGCUAUUACCUAGAUGUCCCUGUUAUGCCUUCAAUUCAUGCAAAGCCUAAUAGUGGUUGUGCCCCUGUCUUGUAACUUGAGCAAUCCAAACUAAUAGAGGUCAUAUAAUUUCAAGACUUCAGGUUUGAUUAGACUUUGGCAUUUCCUUGGAAGUUUCUUCUGUUGUGUAGUUUUUUAUUAAUUGGAAUGUUGAUCUUUGUCUUUCCUUUGGAAUGAGGUGUAGGCCUUUAAUUCCCAUGUUUUUCACUGCCUGAACUGUAUUGGAGUUCUGUUACAGGGACUACUUCAUUUUUCUUCCUGUUGUGAUGAUAGUAUAAUAGUCCUUUGGUAACUACAACAAUUGGUUACAUGGACAUGUCAUAUUAGGAAAAUACUUAUUUUGUGUAUCUUUUAGUUGCCUAAUGCAAAGCAGGAGGUGGGAGCAAAUGGACAGCACCACCUGACUAGCUAAUUCUCUGUAUGCUAUUCAUAGUCUACAAAGUGUUUGGGAGCUACUAGUAUAAGAAAUGCUGCAGUAAUGCCAUAUUCAGUCCAUGGUAGUGGGUGCUCGCAAUUGUCUUGAGGGAGUUUUGUAGCCAGUGGUGGGUAAAAGCUUUGACAGUUUGGUACUAUGCCUGAAUGAUCCAUGUUAUCAUGACUAGAAAAUAUACUGUGGGCUCCCAAGAGUGACCAGGUCUUGUGCCCUUCGUUGUGGAUGGGCACAGGCACUUCAAUUCAGCAGUUAUGGCAUGUCACAGGCAAGGAGGACCUUCCAGCUGGAUGAAAGGGGCCCUUUUUUGCCUUUGAGAGCAGGAAAUUAACAGAAAACUCUUGAGUGCAAUAGAUUGCAUGUUGUUUUUGAUCUGCUUAUGGAACAGCGGAAACUUAAGUCUUGAAGUAAAUUUUGUCUAAACCUUUUAGACUUUCCUAUAUGGUUUUAAAGAUCCCUGUAUGAUAUGUAUAAAAAUAAAAAUGAAUCUUAUUGUUAUAUUUAUACAAAAGUAGCAACUUAUCAGACUUUUAGUUUACACUGCCCCCUUCUCAAAAAGUGGUAUUUGAAGUACUACAGAGUAUUUUUUCUCUUUUUUGGGUGCAUAUUUAUUUUAGGACUUGGUGUGCAUAUGUAUUUCUAUAUGUGCAAUAAAAGAAAAAUAGACGAAGAAAGCCUUAAAUAAAUGUUUGAGUUGAAACUAGGACUUGUCAGAAAACAAGAAUUCUGUCAUAGAAAAAUCUUGAGCGUUAAACAAAAGAAAGGCAUUUUAGAAAAAAACAAGGAGCAAAGAAUCCCAAAGAGUUGAUAAGAGUGGUGCAGGUACUCAGUUUUGAUAUGGGAAGUCCAAGUUCAAGUCUGUGACUUGAAUCUGACAGUGUUUUAAUUGGUCAGCUUUUGCCAGUCUGAGAUGUCUGUCUUGCUCAUUCUCACUCAGUUUGUCUAAUAAAAGAUAUCACAUCUGCUCAAAGAACCUUGCCUUGCUCAUUCACAUACACUCAUUUUGACCAAAAAUGUAACUGUAGACCCAAGAAACCUUCCUAACAAAAUUGAGUGAAACACUUUCUUUGAAGAUUAAACAAAUCAAUGUUUUGUGAUUAAAAACAUUUUUAUAAAAAAUUUCUCAACUCAAAUUACAAUGUGCUGUUUAAAUAUCAGGUUUUAGAAGGUCCCGGAGAGGGUGGGGAGAGGGAAGGAAAACAUAAUUUAAUUUAUCUUGUUCAACUUCAAGGAAAAAUAAGGUUUAUGACAAAUUAUCAUUUUCCUAUACUGACAAAUAACAUUUAAGGCUUAACGUUUCAAAUUUUAUAAAGUUAAAGUUUCUGGUAACUCUUCUUGGGAGUUUUCUUGAAUAUGGGUCAAAUGCAGUUUUGUUUCAUUUAAAAAAAAAAAAAAAAAAAAAAAAAAGCAACUUCCUUCCUCCCUUCCAAAAUUAGAGUGGUGGAUUAACCCGCAGGGUGUGUGGGAAAGGGGUGGGGACUCUGAAUGAAGGUGUAGGAUGGUGGGUGAAUUCUGCAUAAUAAGCAUUAUGGGAUGACCUCUCCUUUAAAGCUGUUGGGGUGGAUCCAGGAUUUUACAAAGGGCGGGUGGGGUGCAGGAGCAGUGGCCAGCACUGCAGGGGUAGCUACACCCCUGGCUCCCAGCCUCUUCCCCUCCUACCCAUGUGGCCAGAUUCUGCUAUGGGAGCAGCAACCAGGAAUUAACAUUUAAGUCCUGAUGAAGGUAAAAAUUCCACCCCCCUGCCCCCUUCCUCUCCAUGCUUACAAACAUGUUCCCUCCCCUCUUAUUUCUCCCUCUCCCACCUGCCAGUUUUGGUGACCUUGUUGCCCUGGGGCAAUGAGAGCUCCUAUCCUGUUCCAGGUGAGCUGUGUGGGGGUGGGUUCAGCCUGGGACUGCAGCAGUUGGCAGGUGGGUUUCCCUCCCUGGUCCCUUUCCCCCUCCAUGUUCCCUGAGCCCAGAAGGAGGAACACACUCACCUGCUGCAGUUGCUUCUGCUGUUCAGAGUUGAGCCCAGCCCCUGCGCAGUAUGGCUGGAGUGGGAUGGUCAAAGCUUCCCUUGCACUAGGGAUAAUGGGGGCACUGGCAGCAGCAGGUGGGGGGGAUGAGAAUUAGAAAAGAGGGGAGGGAAUGUGCCUCUGAGCACAGAUGGUAUAGGGGAGGAGUGGAAUACUUACCUUCUUUGCAACUUAAAAGUCCCAGGCUGCUACUCCCAUUGCAUGGUAAGAAAGGGGGUGCAGCUAUGCCAGUGCACAUCCUCUGGAUCCACCCUGGGUAUCAUGCUUCAGCUUUGUCCAGCCUCAUCCCAAGCCGAGACCCUGAAUUCCAACAGUGCCUGGUAAUCUGAAUGGUGGUUCCCUUUGCUGGCAAGAAACUCGUACUAUAACUGUCUGGUUGCUCUGCUGUGGUCAGAGGGUGCUCUCCCUAAUUCUGUAAUCAGAUUUGUCUGACCACUCCUACUUCUGUCUUCCUUCCACAGACAGGAGGGAAUUUCCUUUGCAUCUUGGCUCCCAAGCCUGCAGGACCCGAGACAGGGAGUGUGCAGUGGGAGCUUCUGUUCUGGUAACUUGCUGUGGGAGCCUUUAAUGUUUGUGCCCUUUGCAAGUGCAGGUUUUGCAGGAGCUCGUAAUGGUCCUUUUGGCACCGUGCCUCUUGGAUUAGAGGAUCUCUGCUGGAUGACAUGUGGCUUCCUGUGUUUGUCACAGUAGUUGAGCUGUGUGGUUUGGCACAAGCUGAAGUUGAGACUUAGCACAGAGCCAGCCAGCUGUGGGUAGGAUGAAAAUGUUUUGUCCUUCUACACAAGUACAUAAUAAAGAAAAUGACUAUGCUUGAAUAGUUGCUAGUACUCUGCACGGUGGUCAGCAAAGUGACUUUUGUUUUUAGGAUAUGCUUUGCCAUGGUGCAGUGCCUGUAAUGAAUGUUCACUGGAUACCAGAUUUCUUUUUUUUAAGGCUUUUGGUACGCUACUUUCAAGAAAGUCAUAUGUUACCAGUGUUCUGUGUAUUGUGGUUUGACACUUGUGAGUAUGAUUUAGAAACAAAUAUUAUACAUUGUGAAAUAGAAUCACUGGGACAAGCCUGCAUAAAAUAUUUUACGAUGUAAUGCUAAUAUAUCAAAUGUCUUGAUUCCACUGUUCUCCAAGGGCAUGCAAAAUGCACAUUGGUACUCUUGAGUUGUAUGAUGCAGCCAAUUUUUGUUAGUAUUUAAAAUGAAUCCCCACCUCACAAUUAGUUGUAGUUCAUAUCUAUUAACUUUACUGUUUUUGCUUUUAAUAAGAAAGUAUGGCAGCCAUAAUUUCUGUAAUUGUAGGUGUCAAACAAAGUUUCAGUCUUAAGGCAAAUUGUAGGUCCAGGACAGCAUUGCACACUGUUCUUCUGUGUUGUUAUUUUUCAUUCUUUCCAUUUUUUUUUUCUUUUGGAGCAGGGACCUGUACGGUUUUAUAAAACUAUGUACUUCAAGAGUCAGUAUAAUGCUAUAAAAGUUUCUUUCAUUCCCUUUGCUAAAGUGUAUCAAUAAAUGAGAAGCACAUAAUAUGUACAUCACAGAUGCUUUAUAGUGGCAAGUUAGUUGUCAUGUAGCAUGAACACUUGCAAGUGGCAUCAUAAUAAAUUUAAAAUUAUAGGUCAGAGAUGUGUUUAAGACAAAAAAAAAAUACAAGCUAAUAAAUAAAUAUUGGGGAGAGAUGUUUUGAUUUCCAAGUUUUGUUUGUCUUGAUAAUAGAAGCAGCAAGCCAUAUAAAUCCAUUUCAAUAUUCAGCAGCUGCUACUCUGCCUGUUGUCCAAGAAAUUGUGCAGAUUUAUUUGAAACAUGCCAGUAAUCCUCGGGCCUGACAUGUGGCAAAUUACUCUGAAAUGAUGGCGGCAGUAUGUUACCAAUUCAAAGAAAGCUUAAAGCCCUUAUGCCCCACUCCUUUCCUCCACCUCCAUCAGCCCCUAAAAUGAUGAACCAGCAGAAGGCAUGUAAUUGCUACAGUUGUUGCAAGUCAUUCAUCCUCUUAUAAUCGGAUGUCUAGAGAGAGAACAUCUGAACAGAAAAUUUCCUUGAAGAUUGGGAUCUUCUUAUAUGAUUAAAGAUGUUCCACCUGCCUCGCAUUUGAGUGAACAAUUGUCUUCUACAAGAUUCAAACCUGAUUAGAAGUGUAGUAAUCUGAGCAGUCCAUUCUGAACAGAUGUUACUCCACAUUUCUUUAGCUUAUUUAUAAAUAUAUAAUUGAAAAUGUCUUCCAGCAGUUUACAGGUUGAGAAGAUUAAUAUUUAAUUUUGAAAGUGCAUUUUGACAGCAGUAUUAAAAAUUCAUUAAAUAACAAUGAACAUAUUUUCCCUUUGGGCAUUUAUUUUGAUUAUAACAUUCUUUGCAAAUUAAGUUUUUAGAUUUAUUUUAGUAACUUUGGAGUAAUGGGGAGGUUGAAUGUGGGUUAAAAAUAAAAUUGCUGUUAUUUUCUUUAGCAGAAAAAGUAAACUUUGAUUACGUGAAUGAACAUCUAUUUAUACUGGAGCUUUUUUAUAUUUACUCUUACAUACUAGGUUUUAUUUUAAGGCUCAUGAAUGUUAUAAGUAGUGCUUUAGCCCUGAAAUAAAUAAGAAUUUUAUUAAUUUUAUGGGAAUAGGGACAGUUCCUAAGAAGAAGCAUGUUUGACAUCUGUAUAGCAUGAUCAAAUAAGUAGUGUAAAUUACCUCAAGCAGUUGUGAAUGGACUGCAGGCUAGACCUCUCCUACAUGCUGUGUUCUAUAUGAGGACGUGCUCUGAGCAGCAGCUAUUAAUUUCUGCAUUAUUGUGCUGUAAUUUUGCAUUGUACGAUACGAUCCGGGGGUUCUUUCCUAAAAUUCAAGGAGAUAAGUCAGAUGAGUAAUAAUGUCUCCUCUUUGUAAACAUAUAAAAAGUCCACUCUUCAGGGAAUAAACAAAAGUGAGAACUAGAUGUCUGCUACCAUAAACACCUGACAUUCACUGUUCACUGUCCUGUUGAGGACUUAUGAAUUGCGCAUAGUCCCAAGAGACUACCAAUAUUAAGCUGUCGCAAUAACUUCUUUGUUUCCACUCACUAAAGAAAUUAACUUUUCUAUUCAUUUGUAUUUCAUUACAGAAUGCAGUAAUUUGGUUCUUUAUAUAUAAAAAUUAAGGAUAUGCACAGCUGAACAAAUUACAUUGACUUAAUUUUCCCUCCCCCUUUUAUCAUGUCAGCUUUAUGGUAAUUAUUUUGUGCAGUCACUCCCAUCCCACAAAUGUUAAAUUGUAGUAACCUAGCUCUGUUUUGUUCAGCAGCAAGCUGUCCCAUUUUAGCUUUCACUUACUACAAGAAAGAAGCAGACACAUGCAACAGUUACUUCAGAACAGCUGACCCACACUAAGUCUUCCUCCUUUUCCAUUCAACAAGGAGACUGAUCAUCCAUGAUGUCUUGUGGGCUUUCUCUUCCUAUAUCCAAAAAGGAGCCUGUUUGUCUUCUUUACUCUGGUUUGAAUAAGUAAUGCCACUGGAGUUGGUGGAAAAAACAAUGGUAUAAAACACGUACAAGUGAGAAGAAAACCAGGCUCAUGAUAUAUCAGAGAGUCAAGGAAGUAGGGCUGGAAAGGACCCCGAGAGGUCAUCUAGUCCAACCCCCUUGCCUGAGGCAGGAUCAUCCCUAUCCAAACCAUCACAUACAACCAUAAUCUCAACUCUGCAUAAGACCCUAACCUGCCACUGGUAAAGCAGGGGAACUGGGGCAAAGCCACGAUGCACUCUACCAGGCAGACAGGAUGGGGAUGUGGCUAGGUCAGGCAGGACCAAGGGACCUGCCGUGGGCUGGAUAAAAUCCCUUAGUGGACUGGAUUUGGCCCACAGGCCAUAUUUUGCCCACUCCCAGUCUACAACUUCUCUAGACACUGUAUUCCACUACCCCACUAUUCUAACAGUGAAGAAGUUACUUUGGAUAUCCAAUCUAAAUUUACUUUGCUGUAACUUCAAGCCAUUGGUCUGCAUCCUUCUCUCUGCAGCAAGAGAUAAAAGGUGUUUUUCAUCUUCUAUAUGGCAGCCCUUCAAGAAUUUGAAGACUACUGUCAUGUCCCCUCUUAAGUGCCUUUUCCACAAGCUGAACAUACCUAGCUCCUAUCUGUAUUAUCUCAGCUAUUGCAAAAGUUUAAUUGCUCUAGAAGUUCUAUUUGUUAAUUUUGUAACCGCAAAACUAGAGGCAAAACAUACGAAGCAAAAUGUGAUUAUUAUUAUUAUUGCUCAAAUUAUGGGGGGGGGGCAAAAGUCCAGUUUGGAUUAAAUGUUUUGUGCGAUUCUUAUUAAUCCUUUUUUUCAAUAUGGAGUAUGUCAGGACAUUUUUCAGGAUAUGAAUAAAAAAAAUACUGCACUAUG
Long non-coding RNA from Alligator mississippiensis (American alligator), 9746 nucleotides. RefSeq lists it as uncharacterized. NCBI's taxonomy places the organism in Eukaryota, Metazoa, Chordata, Crocodylia, Alligatoridae. The transcript is spliced from 2 exons. The record is from RefSeq and is a predicted model, not a curated record.